CACAAUCUGACGCAAAAAUGCAGGAGUCUAGGUCCACCGUCAAUCCCGACGGCACCCGACGGUCCGACACCGUCUAACUCUACUGUAACAACACACUCGACUCCUCAGCGCGAGCGUAAACUCAACCUACACUCGUCUAAGUAUCCACCUUGCACUAACAGCAGUGAUACAGAAAUCUGGGUCACCGUCAACCUCGACGGCACCCGACAGCACGAAACAGUCUACACACUACUGUAAAACAAUCUCGGCAUCCCAGCACGAGCGUAAACUCAUCCUACACUAAUCUGGGUAUCCCUCGCGCACAAACAGCGGUGAUACAAAUUAAAAUCAACUCAUAAAGCUAAAUCUGGUAACUUUCAGAAAAUGACAGUGUAAG
This 376-nucleotide long non-coding RNA is filed under the name Ananas comosus (pineapple). Its description in RNAcentral is "long non-coding RNA (ACOM_LNC040234)". Lineage: Eukaryota; Viridiplantae; Streptophyta; Magnoliopsida; Poales; Bromeliaceae. The record is from RNAcentral.